GACGAACGCUGGCGGCGUGCUUAACACAUGCAAGUCGAACGGUGAAGCGCCUUCCUUUUUGGUGGGUGUGGAUGAGUGGCGAACGGGUGAGUAACACGUGAGUAACCUGCCCCCUUCUUCUGGAUAACCGCAUGAAAGUGUGGCUAAUACGGGAUAUUCUGGGUCUGUCGCAUGAUGGGUCUGGGAAAGAUAUUGUUUCGGUGGGGGAUGGGCUCGCGGCCUAUCAGCUUGUUGGUGGGGUGAUGGCCUACCAAGGCGGUGACGGGUAGCCGGCCUGAGAGGGUGGACGGUCACACUGGGACUGAGACACGGCCCAGACUCCUACGGGAGGCAGCAGUGGGGAAUAUUGCACAAUGGGCGUAAGCCUGAUGCAGCGACGCCGCGUGAGGGAUGGAGGCCUUCGGGUUGUGAACCUCUUUCGCCAGUGAAGCAGGCCUGCCUCGUUUGUGGGUGGGUUGACGGUAGCUGGAUAAGAAGCGCCGGCUAACUACGUG
This 494-nucleotide ribosomal RNA is filed under the name uncultured bacterium. RNAcentral describes it as "partial 16S ribosomal RNA". It matches the Rfam family "Bacterial small subunit ribosomal RNA", at positions 28 to 507 of the family's 1533-position model. The record is from RNAcentral.